Molecule: ribosomal RNA, 119 nt
Filed under: Bacillus paralicheniformis
Lineage: Bacteria; Bacillati; Bacillota; Bacilli; Caryophanales; Bacillaceae
Description: partial 16S ribosomal RNA
Rfam family: Bacterial small subunit ribosomal RNA
Source: RNAcentral
UAACACCCGAAGUCGGUGAGGUAACCUUUUGGAGCCAGCCGCCGAAGGUGGGACAGAUGAUUGGGGUGAAGUCGUAACAAGGUAGCCGUAUCGGAAGGUGCGGCUGGAUCACCUCCUUU